CUCGUGCAGGAAGGCGAUCUGGAUCUGACGGUUGCAGGGGGCUGCAGAGCUCGGCCUCCGAAGCGGGCGUUAGGGGACCGGGGCUCCUCGGGCUUCCCACUUGGAGGAAGGUUCCAGGAAGACUCAUUUCUGCCCUUUGAGAAUUUUGAUCUGUGACAUUGCCCAGGAAAGUGAUCACAGAUUGGGAGAGAAGUCUUGGGCCACAUAAAAACCUGCUUGAUAAGGUGUUCUUAUCACCUUCAGAAUCUGCUUACCCACCCAGUGUCGGCUGGUAAGUACAAGAGCCAUUUAUGUUACAGGUGAGGGAACUGAGGCACAGAAAGGCCAAAUGAUUGGGUUAUAGAGACACAGGAAGAGAUCAAUCUGUCUGGAGUGCUGUUCCCUUUCCCUGCAAACUUUCGCUUUGAAGAGGAAUCCAAACUAUGCUUAUACAAGGGGUGUCGUUUUACCUGCCCCGUAAACUUUGUGAGGACCGAGCUGUCUUAUUCUCUGCUGCAUCCCAAGCACCUGAUCCAUGUUGAAUGCUCAGCUUGUGUUGACGGAAGAGAAGGAAAUUCAGACUUGGAGGAGAAGAAAAGGGUGAGCUCGGAAAGAAGAUACAGGUUUUAUGUGUCAAGUAGGAUAGUUGAAGUCUAAUGUCUUCUGAAAACAAGCAGUUGCAAAGUGGGUGAUUGCUAAAUUGGCUUGCAAUUAUAGAUGAGAUAUACUUGCUAAAUUGGCUUGAAAUUAUAGAGAAGACAUACUUGCUAAAUUGGCUUGAAAUUAUAGUUGAGAUAUAUGUUCAAAAAGAUAAGGUCUUAUCCUGGCAGGAAAAUACAUAAGAAUGAUGAACGUUUGCCAGGGAGACUGUUGGCGCUUUUUAUCCGUGGUGCUCACCAUGGUCCUGAAGCAAGUUAUUCUUCCCAUUUUACAGAAGGGAAACCCUUAACUUAGUGGGAUGAACAAUGCCCAGCACUGACAGCAUUCUCAUCCUCAGUUGACUGAUGCGCGUUCUCCAGAGUGUCACAUUGGAGCUUUAAAAAAAAAAAAUCCCUCCAUUUGGUCUGCACCUCCCACCAAUUAAAUCAAAUUCUCUGAAGGACAGGACCCAGAAUCACUAUAUUUAAAGUUUUACAGUUGCCUCCAAAUUUGAGAACCAUUUCUUUCAAUGGUGCUAGUUUAUCUAGAGCCAGUGCAAAUAGUUCUGGGCAUCUUGACUCACCCUCACUAGCCAUCCUCUCUUCCCGUUGCUCCAUGCCUUGCUUGCUUGAUAGCUCAUUUUCCCUCUUUUUGUAGUUUUCUGGUGGGAUUUUGUAUUGAUGGAAUCAUCUCAGACACAAGUGACUCAGAGGGUGGACUGUUUGCCGGUGAUUCAUGCCCAUGUCUAGAAUGUUGAUAACUCACCUAUUUGCAUCAUUUCAUCCCAAACAAAUGGGUGCCACAGAGAAAGGCUGCCAAAGGAGGAUGACAGAGGGGAGAUGGAAACUAAUCCCAUAUGAAGAAAAACUCAAGAAAAUUUCAUUUAAUUAUGAUCCCUUUUGAUUUCCCAAGGCGUUUCCUUUGGUCGUACAGAAUUGAGUGGAUACAAUGGCUUUGGGAAAGACCCACGUUAGCUGUGACUUCCAGCUGUGGGUUGGCUUGUCCUCUGUUCUGCUGUCUUGGUUGUGGGAGGCCUCACCACACCAAGCAUGGGCCUCAGAACAGCAGCAUUGGCAUCAAUGAUGUCUGCUAGAAAUGCAGAGUGCCAGGGCCCACCCCAGGCCUGUGGAUCAGAAUCUGCAUUUCAAAAAGAUUCCCAGGGGAUUUGGGUGCACAUUUCUAUUUAAGAAGCCCUGUGGGUUGUGCCCAGAAUGUACUAUGGUGUCCCACUAAUAUUCCUUCUUGGUAAUAUUAGCAAUAGUAUGAAUACUAAUGGAUGCUAGGCACUGUGCUUAGAAGCCUUGUGUAUAUUAUUUUGUUGAAAUAGCUCAACAAUCCUUGACCUAGAUGUUAGCAUUAUUCCCAUUUUUCUUGGGGAGGAAACAGAAAUAAAUGAUCCCAUACUGGUGAGAGGCAAUGAGAAGUAUGAUUUUAGAUGGGAUUCAGGUCUUGCUGGCUUCUAAAAUUCAUGGUUGCUCUGUGUUACACUGUUGAUCUUUUUGAAUGAAUUAACUCAGAAAUCCUAAAUUGCUCCAAUUUGUUCAUUUGCUCAGUCAUCAGACAUUUUCUGUCUGCUAUGAACCAGGUUGUAGGCCAGGCACUGGGGUGAACUUGGAGAGAAAUGAGGUAGAGUUUGCCUUCUCAUGGCCCUCUCAAUGUGGAGGCAUCAUGGGAAGAUGGGAGGGAAGAGGAGACAGAUAAAAAUAUUGAAUGUCUUCUGCUUCUUUGGUAGUUUGUGAUGUCAGCCAAUCUUGAGGUUGAAUUCAUCUUGUUGUUUCUCUCCCAAAGACUAAAUCCAUUGCUCCAAGCACUAGUGACUCACGCAUUUUACUGAAGGUUUUCUGAAGAGAGAAGAGGUUUCUUUGCAUCCCAAAUAGCAGACAGCUUAGGAGAUGUCACCACGAGACUUCUGGGUCCUCCUCAUUUCUUCUCUCCACUUUCCUCCAUGCAGUUCUGAAUCACCACCUCUGCCUCCUUCUGCAAAGACUCUGAGCUCUCAAAUCCACAAGCCCUGGAGAUGCAGCUUCUACUGAGCAUCUCAGAUGCUUUUUACCUGUCUUUCCCUAGGCAUUUGGCUGCCAAGAAGACCCAGAUUGUCUUAAUGUUAGUAUAUUUUAUAAUUACCCUAGCACAUGAGAAGUUCUGUGAUGCAGUUCCAUCCAGAAAUCAUGGAGGGUCAUCAAAAAGGAGGCCAGCGGCUACACAUACAAGAAAUACUGGCUCUGUUGUCCAGUUUUCUACCUUCCUUUAUGUACCUUCAUUGGAGAGGUUUCAGUGAAGUUCUGCCUGUUUGUUCUUAGUAUCAUAGGAUGGCAGAUCAGAAGUUACUUUGAAUCAUCUACUCUAGGGGUUUGCUUGUGUUUAUGUGGUUUUUAGCUAAUUCUUUUUGCAAAUGUGUAAACUCACUAUGCAAAUCAAUGGCUCCACUGAGCUUGGAGCCAUUCUUCUCACUCAAAGUCCCUCUAUUCUCCCCUUUCCCUGACCUGGUUUCUAUUUGUCCCCCUUAAGCCUGACACUGGCCUCUGAAGAAUCAAUACAUUGGCCUCUUUGUGUGUCAGAAUACUGUUGGUUAAAAACAUCAAAUAGCUCAAUAACUACAUUCUGGACUAGCUUCAGGCAUAGCUGGAUCAUGGUGCUCAAAUGCUAGGAUCAAAGAUCUCUUCUCUUUCUUUUGCCUGCUUUCUUCAACAUUGGGUUCCUCCCCUCACAGACUGGUCCCUCAGCCCUUAAGCCUCAGGUAGCUUGGUAAUCAAAGGCCUGGGGAAGGAGGACCUCUCUCUGUCUUAGGAUUUCAAGGGGACAUUACUGAGUCUCCCCGGACUGCCUUAGGUUAUGGAUCUGGCUGCUGUGGCCAAGAGGUAGAGGGUGCCAGUUGGUCAGGUGUGGGCCAGGCACUUGCCUUGGGGCUGGUGUUGAGGUGGAGUUUGUGUCACCUGAAGCACACUACUGUGGCAGCUGUGACCUGUUACCACAAUAGACAAGGACAAGGGUUGAAAAUCACACAUCGAUUUCAGAAUCCAGCUCUGCUAGUUGCGUGAUGGUAUGACUGAACUUACAAGAUGACAAUAUACUGCUCAUGUCAUAUGAGCCUUCAGCCAUGCCGGGUCCCAGGCUGUCCUGAAUUUCAGCUCAGUUUUCUCUGUUCAGCACCCCAUCUUUUCAGGGUGAGGAAACAGCUUCUUAUUUCCUGAUAAACAGAAUCCUUCACAGCCUCUCUCUGGCAGUUACCCUGAGGACCACCUGUGACUUUGGUCUGUGUUCUUUCUGAUGCUGAGUGGGAUGUGCCAGCCUCUUCAAAAUCCAGCACACAUGACAGAAGCAAUGAGAAAAACAUUAGAAAGGAUUUUUCCCCCUAAUUAAAAACAAACAGACACACUGGCAGGAUUGUCCAUGUAUCUAUUUUGGUGCUCAGGCCUAUGUCUAUAGAUUGUUUAGAGAAAUGAACUGAUUAUUGGGGUAUUUCAUGGGAAAUAUGUGUCUCUGAUUUGAGCAGCUCACAUCACUAUCCAAAUUCUUCACUUAAGGGGAGAGCUCUGGGGGUGUAGACUUGGUUUUAUUGUGGCCUAACUAACAAGAUAGCAAAAUGGAGCAUCUGUAAGAACAUUUUGUAAGUACUUACAAAGUUUUCAGAAACAAAAGCUUAAUGAAUUUUCACAAAUGAAUAGAAUAUAUAAUGCUAAGAAUCCUCCUGCCAAAGCCCCUAAAAUGCCAAAUAAUGAAUAAUUUAAUUAUAAAAUAAAAUUUCAAUUUAGCAGCUUCUGGAUUCCCACUUGGCUCAUGAAAGCUUACUUUGCAUCACUUCUUAGUCUAAGAGUGACAUACCUUGCGUUUGUCCUUGGCGAAUAUUGAAACUGGGGCUGAAAUUUCUUCCAGAGAAAUCCUGACCACCAAGGAGGUUCUGUCCAGGGUCUGCUUAUAAACUAUGCUGGAUACAGAGAGCAUUUAUUGUGCACCUCUUAUUUCAGCUACCAUGUGGAGUCCUUCACAUUGUUUAUACUUUUCUUUUUAAAACAGCUUUUAAAGUGCAUUAUUAUCCCAUUUUACAGAUGAGGAGGCUGAACCUCAGUGAUCAUUAUACAGCAAAUAAAAGAUGCAGGAUUUGAACAUGAGUCUACCUGACCUCAGAGGCUGAAAAACAAAAUCAGAAGGGAGCUUUAGGGUUUUAAGAUUUUCUUUUCACCUCUGUGCUAUUAGUUGCAAACUUCUGGGUCAGAGGUCCAUGCUUAUAUUUGUUGAUUUUUUUUUUUUUGAGACAGAGUUGCAUUCUGUUGCCCAGACUAGAGUGCAGUGAUGCAAUCAUGGCUCACUGCAGCCCCCAACUCCUGGGCUUGUCAAGCAAUCCUCCUACCUCAGCCUCCCGAGUAGCUGGGACUACAGGUGCAUGCCACCAUGGCUGGCUAAUUUUUAAUUUUUUUUUAGAGACAGGAUCUUGCUAUGUUGCCCAGGCUAGUCUGGAGCUCCCGGCCCCAAGCAGUCUUCCUAUCUUGACCUCCCAAACUGCUGGGAUUGCAGGAAUGAGCCACAAAUCUCACUCAGCCAUUAGUUGAAUUUAUCAAUGCCCUCCUAAUAUGGCUUUCAAGUUUUGAUUAACUCACAACCUGGUAGAAAGGAGCAGUCAGCAGAAAAAUGAAACAGCAUGGUAAGUUCUCUGAUGGGGAGUCUCUGGGGCCUGGGAGCAUUGCUGAAGCCAUUUUGCUCAUCUAAGAAAGCUUGGUUUAAGGUGGUUUAUGUUAAUGUGGCACAUAAGGCUUAACACACUCUCUUUGUGCUCUUGAAUUAGUGGAUUAUGUAACCUAGUACAAUAGCACCUUUUUCUGAGCAGUUUUCCAGGCAUGGUGGUUGGAUGUUCACAUACAUUACCUUGGCAGCCUACAUAAAACCAGGCCCCCACGUGGUUCAGUCCCAUUGUGGCAUCACAAUCAAAGAAAUAAGGUGGAGAGGAACAAAAUGAGGGAAAUGCAGGCAAUUUCAACCCCUUGAGAACAUUUGGCAGUGUCUGGAGACAUUGUUGUCAUGUGCCAUGAUUUGGGGAGUUACUGGCAUCUCAUGGGAAGAGGCCAGAGAUGCUGCUAAAUAUCCUACAGUGUCCAGGAUGGCCUCCUACAACAGAGACUGAUCUGAUUCCAAACGUCAGUGAUGCUGAGGCUGAGAAACCCAGGUGAAAUGCAGUGAAAACAUUUACGGCACUCUCUCCAGAGAGUGCCAAGGGGUCAGAGAAUAUGUGCCAAUUGCGCAGCCAAACCUCUUGAGAAUCCUGACUCACUCUGCCCUUCUCUAUUGACCCAUCACAUGGAUGGCAGCUUCUCUCUUGCUCCAGUCUCAGUGGCAUUCUUGACGUCGUUUCCUGCCUCAUUUCUGGGCCUUUCUCCCCCUUUCCUCUAAUCGUUUCACUUUUGAGUGUAGGUUUUCUCAAACUUCAAUUAUCCAAAGAUUCCUUUUCUGAAUUUUAAAAUGCCUAUGUUCCGUUAAUUAACAAUCUUUUUUGAAACAGUCUGGCUCUGCUGCCCAGGCUGGAGUGCAGUGGCAUGAUCUUGGCUCAUUGCAAAGUCUGCUUUCUGGGUUCAAGUGAUUCUCAUGCCUCAGCCUUCUGAGUAGCUAAGAUUACAGGCAUACUCCACCAUGCCCAGCUAAUUUUUGUAUUUUUUAGUAGAGACAGGAUUUCACCAUGUUGGCUAGGCUGGUUUCAAACUCCUGGCCUCAAGUAAUGCACCCACCUCAGCCCCCACAAGGUGCUGGGAUUACAGAUGUGAGCCACUGUGUCUGGCUUUAUUUAAUAAUUUUAUCAUAGGCAACUCACUUCUUUCUUUGUAGGUACUACUCAAAUCUUAUGUUUAGCAAUACUGUUUUAAAAAUUAUGACUUUUAUGAACAAUAUAAUAUACAUUCAGACAUACAUAUUAUAUACACUUUAAAAUAUUCAAAUUGCUGUUUACUUGGAAAGUUACUCUGUUAAAAUAAAAAGUUGGCAUGUGUUGAUAUGUGUACCGUCACAAGCCAUCUUGUAUGCCUCCAGUGGAAUUCACUUUACACUUGUAGAAACAUUAGGCUAAACUUUCACCUUCUCCUCUUCAUCCCCUUGUUAAUAAUUGCUG
Long non-coding RNA from Callithrix jacchus (white-tufted-ear marmoset), 6709 nucleotides. RefSeq lists it as uncharacterized. The record is from RefSeq and is a predicted model, not a curated record. Lineage: Eukaryota; Metazoa; Chordata; Mammalia; Primates; Cebidae.